AUCUUGGACAAUGGGGGCAACCCUGAUCCAGCGAUGCCGCGUGUGUGAAGAAGGCCUUCGGGUUGUAAAGCACUUUAGGUGGGGAAGAAAGGCAGUUGUUGAAUACGCAACUGUUAUGACGGUACCCGCAGAAUAAGCACCGGCUAACUCUGUGCCAGCAGCCGCGGUAAUACAGAGGGUGCAAGCGUUAAUCAGAAUGACUGGGCGUAAAGGGCGUGUAGGUGGUUAAUUAGGUUUGAUGUGAAAUCCCCGGGCUUAACCUGGGAAUUGCGUCGAAAACGGAUUAACUCGAGUGAGAUAGAGGGUUGUGGAAUUUCCGGUGUAGCGGUGAAAUGCGUAGAUAUCGGAAAGAACAUCAGUGGCGAAGGCGACAACCUGGAUCUUAACUGACACUGAGGCGCGAAGGCGUGGGGAGCAAACAGG
This 423-nucleotide ribosomal RNA is filed under the name uncultured bacterium. RNAcentral's name for it is "bacterial SSU rRNA". It matches the Rfam family "Bacterial small subunit ribosomal RNA", at positions 361 to 776 of the family's 1533-position model. The record is from RNAcentral.